This 1011-nucleotide ribosomal RNA is filed under the name Pholidoscelis chrysolaemus abbotti. Its description in RNAcentral is "partial 16S ribosomal RNA". It matches the Rfam family "Bacterial large subunit ribosomal RNA", at positions 840 to 2613 of the family's 2925-position model. The record is from RNAcentral. Lineage: Eukaryota; Metazoa; Chordata; Lepidosauria; Squamata; Teiidae.
UGGUGAUAGCUGGUUGUCCGAAAAAUGAAUUUUAGUUCAACUUUAGACUCAUUCCACCACACUCCUCGGUUCCCAUUAGUCUAAAAGAUAGUCAAUGAGGGCACAGCUUCAUUGACACAGGAAACAACCUUCAAUAGUGACAAACUUGUAUCACCCCCCCCCGUAGGCCUUUAAGCAGCCAACAAAAACAAAAUGCGUUACAGCAAUAAUUACACCCAAUCCCAAAAUACUCACACAAACCUCCUACUAAACAUCGGACAAAUCUAUUCACAUAGAAACACUCAUGUUAAAACUAGUAAUAAGAACAACUCUCUUCGCACAAGCUAACACUAACAGACAGCACCAUCUGAACCCAACUACUACACAAGAAAACCAAACCCACCAAUACUGUUAACCCAACCCAGGAGUGCACAAAGAAGAUUAAAAGUUACAAAAGGAACUCGGCAACCUAGGUCCCAACUGUUUACCAAAAACAUAGCCUUUAGCUCAACAAGUAUUAAAGGUGAUGCCUGCCCAGUGAUAUUUUCAACGGCCGCGGGAUCCUACACCGUGCAAAGGUAGCAUAAUCACUUGUCAUCUAAAUAAUGACUAGUAUGAAUGGCCCAAUGAGGACCUUACUGUCUCUUGUAACCAAUCUAUGAAACUGAUCUUCCAGUUCAAAAGCUGGAAUAAACGCACAAGACGAAAAGACCCUGUGGAACUUUUAAGUGCCAGUCAAUAAAAUGACACAACCACUUUUAGUUGGGGCAACUUUGGAACAAAACAAAACUUCCAAUCACGGGAAACAACUUAAAGCUAGGCUUACACACCAACCUUUAUUACCCGAUAUCGACCCAGUACUACUGAUAAAAGAACCAAGCUACCCCAGGGAUAACAGCGCCAUCCCCUCUUAGAGUCCCAAUCGACGAGCGGGGCUUACGACCUCGAUGUUGGAUCAGGGCCCCCAAACAGUGCAGCAGCUGUUAAAGGUUUGUUUGUUCAACAAUUAAUGCCCUACGUGAUCUGAGUUCA